Molecule: ribosomal RNA, 292 nt
Filed under: uncultured bacterium
Lineage: Bacteria
Description: partial 16S ribosomal RNA
Rfam family: Bacterial small subunit ribosomal RNA
Source: RNAcentral
GUGCCAGCAGCCGCGGUAAGACGAACCGUGCGAACGUUGUUCGGAAUCACUGGGCUUAAAGGGCGCGUAGGCGGGCGGUCAAGUCUAUGGUGAAAUCCAACAGCUUAACUGUUGAACUGCCACGGAUACUGAUUGUCUCGAGGAAGGUAGGGGCGUGCGGAACAAAUGGUGGAGCGGUGAAAUGCAUUGAUAUCAUUUGGAACUCCGGUGGCGAAGGCGGCACGCUGGACCUUUUCUGACGCUGAGGCGCGAAAGCCAGGGGAGCAAACGGGAUUAGAAACCCUCGUAGUCC